GACGAACGCUGGCGGCGUGCUUAACACAUGCAAGUCGAACGAACAGGUCCUGCUUUUGUUGGUUGCUCGAUUGGCGAACAGGUGAGUAACACGUGAGUAAACUCCCCCUGUCAUUCUGGUAAAUUCAGGGGACUGCGGCUCAUACCGCGGAGGAGCUACUGCUCCAUAUUGGUCGUUAGUAAAUUUCGGCUGUUUGGGAUGGACUCGCUGCUUAUGCGCUUCUUUGGGUGGUUGGUGCUUACCAAGUCUGUGAAGGGUAGCCGGCCUGGGAGGGUGACCGGCCACAUUGGGACUGCGAGACGGCGCAGAAGCCUACGGGAGGCAGCAGUGGGGAAUAUUGCACAAUGGGCGGAAGCCUGAUGCAGCAACGCCGCGUGCGGGAUGACGGCCUUCGGGUUGUAAACCGCUUUCGACGGUGACGAAGAGGGAGUGACGGUAAUGGGUAAAGAAGCACCGGCUAACUACGUG
This 468-nucleotide ribosomal RNA is filed under the name uncultured bacterium. RNAcentral's name for it is "partial 16S ribosomal RNA". It matches the Rfam family "Bacterial small subunit ribosomal RNA", at positions 28 to 507 of the family's 1533-position model. The record is from RNAcentral.